UAUCUCUGUAGAGUCUGCAUAUCAAUAAGCGGAGGAAAAGAAACUAACAAGGAUUCCCUUAGUAACGGCGAGUGAAGCGGGAAGAGCUCAAAUUUGAAAUCUUCAAGGUUCUACCUUGACGAAUUGUAGUUUAAAGAAGUGUUUUCUGUUAGAUGAGUAGCAAAAGUUCCUUGGAAUGGGACAUCAUAGAGGGUGAGAAUCCCGUAUUUGACCAUUACUUCCAGUGUUGUGAUACACUUUCAAAGAGUCGGAUUGUUUGGGAAUGCAGUCCAAAAUGGGUGGUAAAUUUCAUCUAAAGCUAAAUAUUGGCGAGAGACCGAUAGCGAACAAGUACCGUGAGGGAAAGAUGAAAAGAACUUUGAAAAGAGAGUUAAACAGUACGUGAAAUUGUCAGAAGGGAAGCGUUUGACACCAGUGUUGUUUUCUCGAAAAUCAAUUAAAAAUGGCUUGAUUUUGUGUUGUAUUGACCUUAAAAGCUUUCUUCACUUCUUUCAUGUCUUUUUUAAUGCACUUUUCGUUUAACAAGUCAACAUCAGUUUCUUUUGUUGUAAAAAGGUCAUUGGAAGGUGGCUUUCUUUUCGGAGAAAGUGUUUAUAGCCUUUGACUUCUGCAAUCGGAGAGACUGAGGUCUGCAGCGUAGAUCCUUCUGGACUAGAUUCAUUUGUGCUAAGUUACAACCGUUUAUAGACAACUUGUUGACUAUAUUCGAUCCUGUAGCUUACUCGCUUAUGUAAUUUUACCUACGCUUAGGAUGUUGAUCUGUAGUGCGUGCGC
This 774-nucleotide ribosomal RNA is filed under the name uncultured Neocallimastigales. Its description in RNAcentral is "partial large subunit ribosomal RNA". It matches the Rfam family "Eukaryotic large subunit ribosomal RNA", at positions 24 to 621 of the family's 3401-position model. Lineage: Eukaryota; Fungi; Neocallimastigomycota; Neocallimastigomycetes; Neocallimastigales. The record is from RNAcentral.